Molecule: non-coding RNA, 5571 nt
Organism: Macaca mulatta (Rhesus monkey)
Lineage: Eukaryota; Metazoa; Chordata; Mammalia; Primates; Cercopithecidae
Source: RefSeq, a predicted model, not a curated record
CACCAUGGAAACCCUUGUGCUCAUGGGCCUGGUCUCAAGACGCAGUCAGCUGUUGGGGAUCAGAGGCCGCACUCAUCGUAGCAGAGAGGCAGGACCAGCUGGGAGAGGGUCCUUCUGUGACACCGACGGCAUCACCGGGCUGUGGGAAGUGACUCAGCUGCCAGAACUCACACAAUAUCAUUCUGCACCAAAGCCUCAUGGGAAAAAUGCUCCACGACCCUCAGACUUAAACAGCAGCACUGGCUCCUCCCCAGAUCUCCAGCUCCCUGACCCUCAAACUCCAACUCCAGCACCAGCCCCGCCCGGGUCUCCAGCUCCACCAUCCUCAAACUCCAACAGCAGCACCAGCUCCCGCGUGGAUCUCCAGCUCAAUGACUCGCAGACUUGGGAGGCAGCACCGGCUCCCCACCAAGGCUCCAGCUCCACAACACUCAAACUAGAACAGCAGCACCGGCUACUCCCUGGCUCUCCAGCUCCCUCAAACUCAACGAUAGCACUGGCUGUUCCCCGGGACCACCAGCUCCACAACCCCCAACUUACACGGUGGUAGCAUCAGCUCCUCCCUCAGUCUCCAGCUCCACGACCAUCAAACUUGAACUGCAACACCAGCUCCUCUUCGGCCUCCAGCUCCACAAUCCUCAAACAACAAUAGCAACACCGGUGCCUCCCUGAAUCUCCAGCUCAACAACUCUCAGACUUGAGAGGCAGCACCGGCACCUCCAAGGCUCCAGCUCCACGACCCUCAGAUUUGAACAGUGGUAGCACCACCUCCUGUCCAGGUCUCCAGCUUCACUAUCCUUAAACAAGAAAAGCAGCACUGUCGCUUCCCUGGGUUUCCAGCUCCAUGACCCUAAGACAUGAAUGACAGAACCAGGUCACCCCCAGGGCUCCAGCUCCAAGACCCACAGAUUUGAACGGCAGCCCUGGCUCUUCCCGGGAUCUCCAGCUCCACGGCCCUCAGACUAGAUCAGCAGCACCAGCUCCUCCCUGGGUCUCCCUUCAGCUCCACAAUCCUCAGACAUGAACAAUAGCACCGGCUCCUCCCUGGGUCUCCAGCUCUACAACCCUCAGACAUGAACAGCAGCAGCACCAGCUCCUCCCCCUGUCUCCAGUUCCACCAACCUCAAACUACAACAGCAGUACCAGCCUCUCCCCAGGUCUCCAGAUCCACGACCCUCAAAAUACAAUGGCAUGACCGGCUCCUCCCUCGGUCUCCUGCUCCCAAACCCUCAAACUUCAAGUGACACACCGGACCCUCCCCACAGUUAAACAGCAGCACAGGCUCUUCCCUAAAGCUCCAGAUCCACGACACUCUGACUUAAAUGCUGGUAGCACCGGCUCCUCCCUAGGUCUCCAGUUCCACGACAAUCAAACUACACAGCAGCACUGGCUCUUCCCCAAGUCUCAGGCUCCAUGACCCUCAGACUUAAAAAGCCGUAGUGCGGGCUUCUCCUUGGGUAUCCAGCUCUACAACCCUGAGACAUGAACAGCAGCAGCACCAGCUCCUCCCCCUGUCUCCAGUUGCACGAACCUCAAACUACAAUAGCAGUACCGGCCUCUCCCCAGGUCUCCAGAUCCACGAUCCUCAAAAUAGAAUGGCAUCACCGGCUCCUCCCUGGUUCUCCAGCUCCCAAACCCUCAAACUUCAAUUGACACACUGGACCCUCCCGACAGUUAAACAGCAGCAUGGGCUGUUCCCCAAAACUACAGAUCCAUGACCCUCUGACUUAAAUGGCAGUAGCACCAACUCCUCCCAAGGUCUCCAGUUCCACGACAAUCAAACUACGCAGCAGCGCCGGCUCCUCCCCAGGUCUACAGCUCCACCAUCCUCACACUAGACACCGAGACUACCUCCUCCCUGCUCUCCAGCUACACGACCCUCAGACUUGAACAGCAGCAGCAGCUCCUCCCUGUACCUCAAGCCCCGUGACCCUCAGACCUGAACAACAGCAAUAACAGCUCCCUCCGGUGUCUCCAGCUCCACAACCCUCAGCCUUAAACACCAGCACCAGCUCCUCUCUGGUUCUCCACCUCCACAAGCCUCAGGCAUGAACAACAGCAUCCGCUCCUCCCUGGGUCUCCAUAUUCACUGCCCUGACUAGAACAGCAACACCGGUUCCUCCCUGGAUCUCCAGCUCAAUGACUCUCAGACUUGAAAGGAAGCACCAGCUCCUCCGUGGGUCUCCGGAACCACGACACUCAAAACAACACGGAUCCUCCCUGGGUCUGCAGCUCCACCACCUUCAAACUAGAACAAGACCAUUCCUCCCGAGGUCGCCACCUUCCAGACCCUCUUACUACAACAACAUUGCUCCUCCCUGGGUCUGCAGCUCCACGACCCUGAAACUGGAACAAGAUCUCUCCUCCCUGGGUAGCCAGCUUCCAGACCCUCAAACUAUAACAUUGCUCCUCCCUGGGUCUGCAGGUCCAUGACACUCAAACGAGAAAAAGAUCUCUCCUCCCCGGGUCGACACCUUCCAGACCCUUUUACUACAACAACAUUGCUCCUUCCUCGGUCUGCAGCUCCACGACCCUGACACUAGAACAAGACCUCUCCUCCCUCAGUCUCCAGCUUCCCAACCCUUGAACUUCAACAAUAUUGCUUCUCCCUGGGUCUGCAACUCCACGACCCUCAAACCAGAACAAAACCUCUCCGCCCUGGAUCACCAGCUUCCAGACCCUCGACCUUCAACAACAUUGCUCCUCCCUGGGUCUGCAGCUCCACGACCCUCAAACCAGAACAAGACCUCCCCUCCCUGGGUCGCCAGGUUCCAGACCCUCCUACUACAACAACAUUGCCCCUGCCUGGGUCUGCAGUUCCACGACCUUCAAACUAGAACAUGACCUCUCCUCCCUGGGUCGCCAGGUUCCAGACCCUCAAACUUCAACAUUGCUCCUGCCUGGGUCUGCAGUUCCACAACCCUGAAACUAGAACAAGACUUCUCCUCCCUGGGUGGCCAGCUUCCCAACCCUGGAACUUCAACAAUAUUGCUUCUCCCUGGGUCUGCAACUCCACGACCCUCAAACGAGAACAAGACCUCUCCACCCUAUGUCACCAGGUUCCAGACCCUCGACCUUCAACAACAUUGCUUUUGCCUGGGUCUGCGGCUCCACGACCCUCAAACUAGAACAAGACUUCUCCCUGGGUCGACAGCUUCCAGACCCUCAAAUUGCAACAUUGCUCCUCCCUGGGUCUGCAGCUCCAUGACCCUCAAAUGAGAACAAGACCUCUCCUCCCUGGGUCGACAGCUUCCAGACUCUCUUACUACAACAUUGCUUCUGCCUGGGUCUUCAUCUAGACGACCCUCAAACUACAACAUGACCUCUCCUCCCUGGGUCGACAGCUUCCAGACACUUGAACUACAACAUUGCUUCUCCCUGGGUCUGUAGCUCCACGACCCUCAAACUAGAACAUGACCUCUCCUCCCUGGGUCACCAGGUUCCCAACCCUUGAACUUCAACAACAUUGUUCCUCCCUGGGUCUGCAGGUCCGUGACCCUCAAAUGAGAACAAGACCUCUCCUCCCUGGGUCGACAGCCUCCAGACCCUUGAGCUGCAACAACAUCGCUGCUGCCUGGGUCUGUAGCUCCACGACCCUCAAGCUAGAACAUGACCUCUCCUCCCUGGGUCGCCAGGUUCCAGGCCCUCAAACUUCAACAACAUUGCUCUUGCCUGGGUCUGGAGCUCCACGACCCUCAAACUACAACAUGACCUCUCCUCCCUGGGUCGCCAGCUCCCAGACCCUCUUACUACAACAACAUUGCUCCUCCCUGGGUCUGUAGCUCCACGACCCUCAAACUAGAACAUGACCUCUCCUCCCUGGGUCACCGUGUUCCCAACCCUUGAACUUCAACAACAUUGCUCCUCCCUGGGUCUGCAGCUCCACGACCCUCAAACUACAACAUGACCUCUCCUCCCUGGGUCGCCAGCUCCCAGACCCUCGAGCUUCAACAACAUUGCUCCUGCCUGGGUCUGUAGCUCCACGAACCUCAAGCUAGAACAUGACCUCUCCUCCCUGGGUUGCCAGGUUCCAGACCCUCCUACUACAACAACAUUGCUCCUGCCUGGGUCUGCAGCUCCACGACCCUCAAACUAGAAGAAGACCUCUCCUCCCUGGGUCGACAGCUUCCAGACUCUCUUACUACAACAACGUUGCUCCUCCCUGGUUCUGCAGCUCCAUGACCCUCAAACCAGAACGAUUUCUCCUCCCUCGGUCAUCAGCUUCCAGAACCUCGAACUUCAACAACAUUGCUCCUCCCUGGGUCUGCAGUUCCACGACCCUCAGAUUCGAACAAGACCUCUCUGCCCUGAGUCACCAGCUUCCAGACCCUCGAACUUCAACAUUGCUCCUCCCUGGGUCUGCAGCUCCAUGACCCUCAAAUGAGAACAAGACCUCUCCUCCCUGGGUCGACAGCUUCCAGACUCCCUUACUACAACAACAUUGCUCCUGCCUGGGUCUGCAGCUCCACGACCCUGAAACUAGAACAAGACUUCUCCUCCCUGGGUCUCCAGCUUCCCAACCCUAGAACUUCAACAACAUUGCUUCUCCCUGGGUCUGCAACUCCACGACCCUCAAACUAGAACAUGAACUCUCCUCCCUGGGUCACCAGGUUCCAGACCCUCGAACUUCAACAACAUUGCUCCUCCCUGGGUCUGCAGCUCCAUGACCCUCGAAAUACAACAUGACCUCUCCUCCCUGGGUCGCCAGCCUCCAGACCCUCGAACUUCAACAACAUUGCUCCUGCCUGGGUCUGCAGCUCCACGACCCUCAAACUAGAACAUGAUCUCUCCUCCCUGGGUCGCCAGGUUCCAGACCCUUGAACUACAACAUUGCUCCUCCCUGGGUCUGCAGCUCCACGACCCUCAAACUAGAACAUGACCUCUCCUCCCUGGGUCGCCAGGUUCCAGACCCUCAAACUUCAACAACAUUGCUCCUGCCUGGGUCUGGAGCUCCACGACCCUGAAACUAGAAGACUUCUCCUCCCUGGGUCUCCAGCUUCCCAACCCUCAAACUUCAACAACAUUGUUCCUCCCUGGGUCUGCAACUCCACAACCCUCAAACAAGAACAAGAUCUCUCCUCCCUGGGUCGACAGCUUCCAGACUCUCUUACUACAACAACAUUGCUCCUCCCUGGGUCCGCAGCUCCACGACUCUCAAACUAGAACAAGACCUCUCCUCCCUGGGUCGCCAACUUCCAGACCCUCGAACUACAACAUUGCUCCUGCCUGGGUCUGCAGCUCCACGACCCUCGAAAUACAACAUGACCUCUCCUCCCUGGGUCGCCAGCCUCCGGACCCUUGAACUUCAACAACAUUGCUCCUCCCUGGGUCCGCAGCUCCACGACCCUCAAACUAAAACAAGACCUCUCCUCCCUGGGUUGCCAGGUUCCAGACCCUCGAACUUCAACAUCAUUGCUCCUGCCUGGGUCUGCAGCUCCAUGACCCUCAGACUAGAACAAGACUUCUCCUCCCUGGAUCGACAGCUUCCAGACCCUUGAACUACAACAUUGCUCCUGCCUGGCGCUGAAGCUCCAUGACCCUCAACUAGAACUGAACUCUCCUCCCUGGGUC